RNAcentral lists this small RNA (520 nucleotides) under uncultured Glomus. RNAcentral's name for it is "SSU rRNA". It matches the Rfam family "Eukaryotic small subunit ribosomal RNA", at positions 569 to 1089 of the family's 1831-position model. Lineage: Eukaryota; Fungi; Glomeromycota; Glomeromycetes; Glomerales; Glomeraceae. The record is from RNAcentral.
AGCAGCCGCGGUAAUUCCAGCUCCAAUAGCGUAUAUUAAAGUUGUUGCAGUUAAAAAGCUCGUAGUUGAAUUUCGGGGUUAGUAGGCUGGUCGUGCCACAGGUAUGUACUGGUCUUACUGACUUCUCCUUUCUGAAGAACUGUAAUGCCAUUAAUUUGGUGUUGCAGGGAAUCAGGACUGUUACUUUGAAAAAAUUAGAGUGUUUAAAGCAGGCUAACGCUUGAAUACAUUAGCAUGGAAUAAUGAAAUAGGACGUUCGAUCCUAUUUUGUUGGUUUCUAGGAUUGACGUAAUGAUUAAUAGGGAUAGUUGGGGGCAUUAGUAUUCAAUUGUCAGAGGUGAAAUUCUUGGAUUUAUUGAAGACUAACUACUGCGAAAGCAUUUGCCAAGGAUGUUUUCAUUAAUCAAGAACGAAAGUUAGGGGAUCGAAGACGAUCAGAUACCGUCGUAGUCUUAACCAUAAACUAUGCCGACUAGGGAUCGGAUGAUGUUAAUUUUUUAAUGUACUCAUUCGGCGCCUU